Long non-coding RNA from Gallus gallus (chicken), 462 nucleotides. The record is from Ensembl. Lineage: Eukaryota; Metazoa; Chordata; Aves; Galliformes; Phasianidae.
UGGAGAUAUGCCUUGGAGAUGACUAGAUGGAGCAGACUGAAACAAAGCCGGGGAAUGAGAUACCAAUCAAGCAAGAUGGAUCAUGCUGGGUGUAGUGUCUGAACUCCAGUAUAGCAGGGGUGACUGAGCUCUAUCCUGACCUUCCAGCACAUCCUGUGGAAGUGAGAUGGCACGAAUAUACAUAACAUUGUUACCUGUACCCUUUAGAAGAAGGCUCAGGAACAGCUUAGUCCACAAAGUCUCACCACUUGCCAGAGGAACAGAUCAAGGAACAGUGAGAAACUUGGAACCAGAUCCUCCGAAUAGCAACUAGAGUGACAUCUACUGAACCAAGUGGAUCUAUCUCAGUGAAAGUUCACCUUACCAAGCAGCUCUCUGGUACUCACACACAGCUUAGUGGACCAUGAUAGCUGUGCAUCUGGGUAACAUGUCUGCAGCAGGCGCUGUACUCCUGGGAAGGAA